Molecule: ribosomal RNA, 1227 nt
Filed under: metagenome
Description: bacterial SSU rRNA
Rfam family: Bacterial small subunit ribosomal RNA
Source: RNAcentral
GGGUAGCCGGCCUGAGAGGGUGACCGGCCACACUGGGACUGAGAUACGGCCCAGACUCCUACGGGAGGCAGCAGUCGAGAAGCUUCGGCAAUGGGCGAAAGCCUGACCGAGCGACGCCGCGUGAGCGAAGAAGGCCCUAUGGGUUGUAAAGCUCUGUCAGAUUGGGAAGAAAACCUUACGGUUAAUACCCGUGAGGCUUGACGGUACCUUCAGAGGAAGCACCGGCUAACUCCGUGCCAGCAGCCGCGGUAAUACGGAGGGUGCAAGCGUUGUUCGGAUUCACUGGGUAUAAAGGGUGCGCAGGCGGCCUGAUAAGUCAGGGGUGAAAUAUGACGGCUCGACCGUCAAACUGCCCCUGAAACUGCCAGGCCUGAGUCCGGGAGAGGUAGGUGGAAUUCCAGGUGUAGCGGUGAAAUGCGUAAAUAUCUGGAGGAACACCGGCGGCGAAGGCGGCCUACUGGCCCGGAACUGACGCUCAGGCACGAAAGCUAGGGGAGCGAACGGGAUUAGAUACCCCGGUAGUCCUAGCCGUAAACGAUGGGCACUAGGUGUUGGAGGAGUCUACCCCUUCAGUGCCGCAGCUAACGCAUUAAGUGCCCCACCUGGGGAGUACGAUCGCAAGGUUGAAACUCAAAGGAAUUGACGGGGGCCCGCACAAGCGGUGGAGCAUGUGGUUUAAUUCGAUGCAACGCGAAGAACCUUACCUGGACUUGACAUGCAGGGGACAGGUGUAGAAAUACACCCUUCUUCGGACCCUUGUACAGGUGCUGCAUGGCUGUCGUCAGCUCGUGUCGUGAAAUGUUGGGUUAAGUCUCGCAACGAGCGCAACCCCUGUUUUCAGUUGCCAUCAGGUUAUGCUGGGGACUCUGGAGAGACUGCCGGUGACAAACCGGAGGAAGGUGGGGACGACGUCAAGUCAUCAUGGCCCUUACGUCCAGGGCUACACACGUGCUACAAUGGCUGGUACAAAGGGCUGCAAUACUGCGAAGUGGAGCGAAUCCCGAAAAGCCAGCCUCAGUUCGGAUUGGAGUCUGCAACUCGACUCCAUGAAGUUGGAAUCGCUAGUAAUCGCGUAUCAGAACGACGCGGUGAAUACGUUCCCGGGCCUUGUACACACCGCCCGUCAAGUCAACCGAGUUGGCUGCACCCCAGGUCGCUGAGCUAGCCCGUAAGGGAGGCAGGUGCCCAAGGUGUGGUUGAUAAGGGGGACUAAGUCGUAACAAGGUA